Molecule: long non-coding RNA, 699 nt
Filed under: Homo sapiens (human)
Lineage: Eukaryota; Metazoa; Chordata; Mammalia; Primates; Hominidae
Description: HSALNT0299455
Source: RNAcentral
UGUACUUUCAAAUGAAGUCUGGAACUGCAGAUAUAUUUAGCGAGUUGAGACUGGCAAGGGCAGGACGUCAUAGAGAAAAUACAUGGAAUAAAAUGAGAAAAAGAGAAGUGGGGAAAGUGAUAGGGCAGAAAACUCUAAGAAAUUUCUGACAUGCAAGGAAAAGAAAUUUCUGACACAGAGAAAAUACAUGGAAUAAAAUGAGAAAAAGAGAAGUGGGGAAAGUGAUAGGGCAGAAAACUCUAAGAAAUUUCUGACAUACAUGGAAUAAAAUGAGAAAAAGAGAAGUGGGGAAAGUGAUAGGGCAGAAAACUCUAAGAAAUUUCUGACAUGCAAGGAAAAGAUGAAACAAAAAGAGGUCAAAUAUGUAAGAGCAGAAAGCUGUCCUUUAAGUUCUGAGAACUAAGAGGAGUGGAGUGACCUAAAAAGCGAGUGGUGGGAGCAAAAGUAAGCUGCAGGGACCCAGGAGGAGCAACAGGAGAGGUGGAGGUGGCAGCCUUCCUUUUUCUCAUCAAAAGAAUUGUUAAACAGAGGUUCCCAGAAAGUCUGUGCACAGUGGAGAUGCCGAAUACCAUAAAGUACUGAAAGAAGAAGCAUCAGAUAGUAGAGAGAACAAAGUUGGAACGACCUGGCUUCAAAUCCUGAGUGGCUCCUUUGCUAGCCGUGUGACUGAGCACAUUACUCAGCCUUUGCAAGAGUCAG